Molecule: long non-coding RNA, 677 nt
Organism: Eptesicus fuscus (big brown bat)
Lineage: Eukaryota; Metazoa; Chordata; Mammalia; Chiroptera; Vespertilionidae
Exons: 3
Source: RefSeq, a predicted model, not a curated record
UUCCACACGGAGACGCGGCGCCGGGUCGCCGCCGGCAGAUUCGACACGGAAACCCGGAAGGACCCGGGAUCCUUCAGCCCCGGGGAGGCUGGGUCCCCUCGGGGCGCCCGGGAGAGCUGUGGGGACUCAGGUAGCCCCCCUGCGAACAUAUUUGCACAGUGAUGCGUCAGGCCACCCCAAUAGGGUGGACAUCCCAGGACGCAGCUCCAUCCGAGACGUGCAGAAGCGUCUGAUCUCUCGCCCCCUGCGCUUUACAGGGUCAUCAAACAUCAAAUCAUAUAGGGACUUAGAUUCAGGGCUGCUCAAGCUCAGCCGUUCCUCAGAGGAGGAAACAGGCUAGAGAGAGAGAUCCUUUGCGGAAUCCUUUCUGAUGACUGAGUGGCGUUUUUCCUGGACCAGCUCUUGGCUGAAGCCUCACGUGGGAGAGAAGAAAUGUUGAAGAGGCAUCAUGCUUGAGUUUAUCCUUCCAAGAGAAUGAAUGUCUGACCACUUCAUUCACUCAACGUGAAGAUCAAAGGAGCCAAAUGAUAGCACAGCCAAGUGUGAUCACUGCUAACCCUACACUCUUUACCAUGGGAAAACCCAGCCACCCUGUCCACCAGGGAUUUCAAAUUAAAAUAUGAUACUCUGGUUUCUCUUCAGAUCGCAUAAAUCUUUCGCCUUUUCAAAUUAAAAUA